AGCGAACGCUGGCGGCAGGCUUAACACAUGCGAGUCGAGCGGGCACUUUCGGGUGUCCGCGGCGGACGGGUGAGUAACGCGUGGGAACGUGCCCUCUGGUUCGGAAUAACUCAGGGAAACUUGAGCUAAUACCGGAUACGCCCUCUUGGGGAAAGGCUUGCUGCCGGAGGAUCGGCCCGCGUCUGAUUAGCUAGUUGGUGAGGUAACGGCUCACCAAGGCGACGAUCAGUAGCUGGUCUGAGAGGAUGAUCAGCCACACUGGGACUGAGACACGGCCCAGACUCCUACGGGAGGCAGCAGUGGGGAAUAUUGGACAAUGGGCGCAAGCCUGAUCCAGCCAUGCCGCGUGAGUGAUGAAGGCCUUAGGGUGGUAAAGCUCUUUUAGCCGGGACGAUAAGGACGGUACCGGAGGAAUAAGCCCGGGCUAACUUCGG
RNAcentral lists this ribosomal RNA (434 nucleotides) under uncultured bacterium. RNAcentral's name for it is "partial 16S ribosomal RNA". It matches the Rfam family "Bacterial small subunit ribosomal RNA", at positions 28 to 506 of the family's 1533-position model. The record is from RNAcentral.